GGGGCAUUGGCUCAGUUGGUAGAGCGCUGCGUUCGCAAUGCAGAGAUCAGGGGUUCGAAUCCCCUAUGCUCCACCA
Molecule: transfer RNA, 76 nt
Filed under: Bacillota bacterium
Lineage: Bacteria; Bacillati; Bacillota
Also listed under: 1 other name
Description: Firmicutes bacterium tRNA-Ala
Rfam family: tRNA
About the family: Transfer RNA (tRNA) molecules are approximately 80 nucleotides in length. Their secondary structure includes four short double-helical elements and three loops (D, anti-codon, and T loops).
Source: RNAcentral